Molecule: long non-coding RNA, 507 nt
Organism: Delphinapterus leucas (beluga whale)
Lineage: Eukaryota; Metazoa; Chordata; Mammalia; Artiodactyla; Monodontidae
Source: RefSeq, a predicted model, not a curated record
UUCCUCGAGAAGCUGCAGUGUGGGGAUGCUCUAGACCGAGUACUGCCCCCAGUGUCUUUCCACCUCUUUUUCCUGCAGCGGCGGCAGCAGCGCUUGGCAGCGGCAGCGCUUGGCAGCGGCAACUUGAGACUGCGCCCAGGGCAAGCCCCCCCAGGGUGGUGCUCAACUGAGAGGGGGGGCUCAGUGCCCGAAGGUGUGUGUGUAGGGUGGGGGCGGCCAGCUGGGACCAGCUGGUGGCCCUGGAAAACCUCCCACACACCCACACCCACACACCCCUUUUGUGUUGCAGGCUGCUCCUCCAAGAGCAGAGGCAGCAAGAGGACGUGUGUGCACCGGUCCGCACGGGGAAGCAGUAGGGACGGAGCCCGGCACCACCUCCUGGUUCUCCCUCCAGGAAACCAGGAAAACAAGAACUAGCAAGAGCUUGACAAACGCCUGGCUUUGAAUUGGAGACCAUUCGCCUGCCUAUUGCUUCAUUCCUGGAAAUUUCACUGCAACUAACUAAGG